RNAcentral lists this ribosomal RNA (425 nucleotides) under uncultured bacterium. Its description in RNAcentral is "partial 16S ribosomal RNA". It matches the Rfam family "Bacterial small subunit ribosomal RNA", at positions 354 to 796 of the family's 1533-position model. The record is from RNAcentral.
GUGGGGAAUCUUAGACAAUGGGCGAAAGCCUGACCCAGCAACGCCGCGUGAAGGAAGAAGGUCUUCGGAUCGUAAACUUCUAUCCUUGGUGAAGAUAAUGACGGUAGCCAAGAAGGAAGCCCCGGCUAACUACGUGCCAGCAGCCGCGGUAAUACGUAGGGGGCAAGCGUUGUCCGGAAUGAUUGGGCGUAAAGGGCGCGUAGGCGGCCUGGUAAGUCUGGAGUGAAAGUCCUGCUUUUAGGGUGGGAAUUGCUUUGGAUACUGUCGGGCUUGAGUGCAGGAAAGGUAAGUGGAAUUCCCGGUGUAGCGGUGAAAUGCGUAGAGAUCGGGAGGAACACCAGUGGCGAAGGCGACUUACUGGACUGUAACUGACGCUGAGGCGCGAAAGUGUGGGGAGCAAACAGGAUUAGAAACCCUAGUAGUCC